UGCAGUCGAGCGCCCCGCAGGGGAGCGGCAGACGGGUGAGUAACGCGUGGGAAUCUACCCUUUUCUACGGAAUAACGCAGGGAAACUUGUGCUAAUACCGUAUGAGCCCUUCGGGGGAAAGAUUUAUCGGGAAAGGAUGAGCCCGCGUUGGAUUAGCUAGUUGGUGGGGUAAAGGCCUACCAAGGCGACGAUCCAUAGCUGGUCUGAGAGGAUGAUCAGCCACAUUGGGACUGAGACACGGCCCAAACUCCUACGGGAGGCAGCAGUGGGGAAUAUUGGACAAUGGGCGCAAGCCUGAUCCAGCCAUGCCGCGUGAGUGAUGAAGGCCCUAGGGUUGUAAAGCUCUUUCACCGGUGAAGAUAAUGACGGUAACCGGAGAAGAAGCCCCGGCUAACUUCGUGCCAGCAGCCGCGGUAAUACGAAGGGGGCUAGCGUUGUUCGGAAUUACUGGGCGUAAAGCGCACGUAGGCGGAUUGUUAAGUGAGGGGUGAAAUCCCAGGGCUCAACCCUGGAACUGCCUUUCAUACUGGCAAUCUAGAGUCCAGAAGAGGUGAGUGGAAUUCCGAGUGUAGAGGUGAAAUUCGUAGAUAUUCGGAGGAACACCAGUGGCGAAGGCGGCUCACUGGUCUGGAACUGACGCUGAGGUGCGA
This 650-nucleotide ribosomal RNA is filed under the name Sinorhizobium sp. MR-I13. Its description in RNAcentral is "bacterial SSU rRNA". It matches the Rfam family "Bacterial small subunit ribosomal RNA", at positions 56 to 756 of the family's 1533-position model. The record is from RNAcentral. Lineage: Bacteria; Pseudomonadati; Pseudomonadota; Alphaproteobacteria; Hyphomicrobiales; Rhizobiaceae.